This 374-nucleotide ribosomal RNA is filed under the name uncultured organism. RNAcentral's name for it is "bacterial SSU rRNA". It matches the Rfam family "Bacterial small subunit ribosomal RNA", at positions 526 to 896 of the family's 1533-position model. The record is from RNAcentral.
CGAGGGGGGCAAGUUGUUGUUCGGAAUCACUGGGCGUAAAGGGAGCGUAGGCGGAUGUUUUAAGUCGGGAGUUUAAAACCGGGGCCCAACCCCGGAGCGGCUCCCGAAACUGGACAUCUUGAAUAGGUCAGAGGCUGGUGGAAUUUGGAGGUGUAGCGGUGGAAUGCGUAGAGAUCUCCAAGAACACCUAUUGCGAAGGCAGCCAGCUGGGACCAUAUUGACGCUGAGGCUCGAAAGCAUGGGGAGCAAACAGGAUUAGAUACCCUGGUAGUCCAUGCCGUAAACGAUGAACACUAGGUUUUGGGCUCGUCAACGGUCCAGAGCCGCAGCUAACGCGUUAAGUGUUCCGCCUGGGGAAUACGGUCGCAAGGCUG